This 465-nucleotide ribosomal RNA is filed under the name uncultured bacterium. RNAcentral describes it as "partial 16S ribosomal RNA". It matches the Rfam family "Bacterial small subunit ribosomal RNA", at positions 28 to 507 of the family's 1533-position model. The record is from RNAcentral.
GACGAACGCUGGCGGCGUGCUUAACACAUGCAAGUCGAACGGAAAGGCCCCUUUGGGGGUACUCGGGUGGCAAACGGGGGAGUAACACGUGCGUAACCUGCCCUUGACUUCGGGAUAACUUCAGGAAACGGGGGCUAAUACCGGAAAGGAAUCCUUGCUGCAUGGUGGGGGUUGGAAAGCUUCGGCGGUUUUGGAUGGACUCGCGGCUUAUCAGCUUGUUGGUGGGGUAGUGGCUUACCAAGGCUUUGACGGGUAGCCGGCCUGAGGGGGCGACCGGCCACAUUGGGACUGAGAUGCGGCCCAGACUCCUACGGGAGGCAGCAGUGGGGAAGAUUGCACAAUGGGCGGAAGCCUGAUGCAGCAACGCCGCGGGCGGGAUGACGGCCUUCGGGUUGUAAACCGCUUUCAGCAGGGGCGAAGCUUGUGGUGACGGUACCUGCAGAAGAAGCACCGGCUAACUACGUG